This 500-nucleotide ribosomal RNA is filed under the name uncultured bacterium. RNAcentral's name for it is "partial 16S ribosomal RNA". It matches the Rfam family "Bacterial small subunit ribosomal RNA", at positions 30 to 523 of the family's 1533-position model. The record is from RNAcentral.
AUUGAACGCUGGCGGCAUGCCUUACACAUGCAAGUCGAACGGUAACGGGUCCUUCGGGAUGCCGACGAGUGGCGAACGGGUGAGUAAUAUAUCGGAACGUGCCCAGUAGUGGGGGAUAACUGCUCGAAAGAGCGGCUAAUACCGCAUACGACCUGAGGGUGAAAGGGGGGGAUCGCAAGACCUCUCGCUAUUGGAGCGGCCGAUAUCAGAUUAGCUAGUUGGUGGGGUAAAGGCCUACCAAGGCAACGAUCUGUAGUUGGUCUGAGAGGACGACCAGCCACACUGGGAAUGAGACACGGCCCAGACUCCUACGGGAGGCAGCAGUGGGGAAUUUUGGACAAUGGGCGCAAGCCUGAUUCAGCAAUGCCGCGUACAGGAAGAAGGCCUUCGGGUUGUAAACUGCUUUUGUCAGGGAAGAAAUCUUCUGGGCUAAUACCCCGGGAGGAUGACGGUACCUGAAGAAUAAGCACCGGCUAACUACGUGCCAGCAGCCGCAGUAA